RNAcentral lists this long non-coding RNA (276 nucleotides) under Panax ginseng (ginseng). Its description in RNAcentral is "long non-coding RNA (PGIN_LNC006050)". The record is from RNAcentral. Lineage: Eukaryota; Viridiplantae; Streptophyta; Magnoliopsida; Apiales; Araliaceae.
UUUUUUUUUUUCAAAGAUAUCCUCCAAACUUGGAUCAAAAUUGGGCCAACAAUUAGGCUAAUUAUAUAUAAUCUCUUGGGUUUUCAAUUAAUUUCUUUGGGCUAUGUAAUAUUUACAUAGUCCAAUCAUUUUCAAUUUGUCUCACCCUAAAUAUUUAAUUAGGGUACCCAUUCCAAAUAUUUAGAAUUUAAAUCAUUACUCUAGUACACUAAAUUUUUAUAACCCAAUCAAACUUACUUAAAUUAAGUUAUAAAAUUAGUAACUUGAGAUAAUAAC